ACGCUGGCGGCGUGCCUAACACAUGCAAGUCGAACGAAGCUCCUGAUCUGAUCUUCGGAUGAAGAGAGGGAAGACUUAGUGGCGGACGGGUGAGUAACGCGUGAGCAACCUGCCUUUCAGAGGGGGAUAACAGUUGGAAACGACUGCUAAUACCGCAUAACAUAUUGUUGACGCAUGGCAAUGAUAUCAAAGCUGAGGCGCUGAGAGAUGGGCUCGCGUCCGAUUAGAUAGUUGGUGGGGUAACGGCCUACCAAGUCGACGAUCGGUAGCCGGACUGAGAGGUUGAACGGCCACAUUGGGACUGAGACACGGCCCAGACUCCUACGGGAGGCAGCAGUGGGGGAUAUUGCACAAUGGGCGAAAGCCUGAAUGCAGCAACGCCGCGUGAGGGAAGACGGUUUUCGGAUUGUAAACCUCUGUCUUUGGUGAAGAAGGAAGUGACGGUAACCAAGGAGGAAGCCACGGCUAACUACGUGCCAGCAGCAGC
Molecule: ribosomal RNA, 487 nt
Filed under: uncultured bacterium
Lineage: Bacteria
Description: bacterial SSU rRNA
Rfam family: Bacterial small subunit ribosomal RNA
Source: RNAcentral